Molecule: transfer RNA, 61 nt
Filed under: Urocitellus parryii (Arctic ground squirrel)
Lineage: Eukaryota; Metazoa; Chordata; Mammalia; Rodentia; Sciuridae
Also listed under: 2 other names
Description: Spermophilus parryii (Arctic ground squirrel) tRNA
Rfam family: tRNA
About the family: Transfer RNA (tRNA) molecules are approximately 80 nucleotides in length. Their secondary structure includes four short double-helical elements and three loops (D, anti-codon, and T loops).
Source: Rfam by way of RNAcentral
UGUAGCUUAGUGGCAAAGCGCUUGCCCAGUAUGCAUGAGGCACUGGGUUCGAUCCUCAGCA